UAGGGAAUCUUCCGCAAUGGACGAAAGUCUGACGGAGCAACGCCGCGUGAGCGAAGAAGGUCUUCGGAUCGUAAAGCUCUGUUGUUAGGGAAGAACAAGUAUCGGAGGAAAUGCCGGUACCUUGACGGUACCUGACGAGAAAGCCACGGCUAACUACGUGCCAGCAGCCGCGGUAAUACGUAGGUGGCAAGCGUUGUCCGGAUUUAUUGGGCGUAAAGCGCGCGCAGGCGGUCCUUUAAGUCUGAUGUGAAAUCUUGCGGCUCAACCGCAAGCGGUCAUUGGAAACUGGGGGACUUGAGUGCAGAAGAGGAAAGCGGAAUUCCACGUGUAGCGGUGAAAUGCGUAGAGAUGUGGAGGAACACCAGUGGCGAAGGCGGCUUUCUGGUCUGUAACUGACGCUGAGGCGCGAAAGCGUGGGGAGCAAACAG
RNAcentral lists this ribosomal RNA (428 nucleotides) under uncultured bacterium. RNAcentral describes it as "bacterial SSU rRNA". It matches the Rfam family "Bacterial small subunit ribosomal RNA", at positions 355 to 775 of the family's 1533-position model. The record is from RNAcentral.